GAGGAUAAGGAUGUGUGGUCAUGGAUAGAGGUUUUGGUGGGAAAGGCUAAUGUUACAUGGUCAGGAGUGAAAGUUACGUGGUUUGGAUCAGCAGCGAUGUGGGAAGUGGUGGAGGUGUUGUGUUUUGGCGACAUGGAGAUGUGGUCAUGGUAAGUAGGUGUUGUGGUUAGACGAGAUGGAGUUGUGGUCAACUGUUCAUCAGUCACAGCAUCGUUCACAAGGGGGGUGGUCUAGUUCAAUCGAAAAUUUCAAUUUAAAGCAAGAACUUGAUAUCAAGGAUAGUAAAAAUGAAAACGAUAUGUAACUAGGAAAUAUCUUUCAUUGUGAAAAUUUCGGCUGUGAGAAAGUAUCGGCAUAGUGUGUUUUCGUCGGCGGUUCGGUUUUCUACUCUGCAACUGCAAAAAUGGAAAAUAGAUCUAGGUUAAUCCAAAACAGAGGGGUUUGCAAGAACUUAUCAAAGGCCCGUGAC
RNAcentral lists this long non-coding RNA (469 nucleotides) under Brassica napus (rape). Its description in RNAcentral is "long non-coding RNA (BNAP_LNC024849)". Lineage: Eukaryota; Viridiplantae; Streptophyta; Magnoliopsida; Brassicales; Brassicaceae. The record is from RNAcentral.